Molecule: ribosomal RNA, 458 nt
Filed under: uncultured bacterium
Lineage: Bacteria
Description: bacterial SSU rRNA
Rfam family: Bacterial small subunit ribosomal RNA
Source: RNAcentral
UACGGGAGGCAGCAGUGGGGAAUAUUGCACAAUGGGCGAAAGCCUGAUGCAGCUAUGCCGCGUGUAUGAAGAAGGCCUUAGGGUUGUAAAGUACUUUCAUCGGGGAGGAAAAAACAAAACUAAUAAUUUUAUUUCUUGACGUUACCCGAAAAAGAAGCACCGGCUAACUCCGUGCCAGCAGCCGCGGUAAUACGGAGGGUGCUAGCGUUAAUCAGAAUUACUGGGCGUAAAGAGCACGUAGGUGGUUUUUUUAAGUCAGAUGUGAAAUCCCUGGGCUUAACCUGGAACUGCAUUUUGAAACUGAAAUACUAGAGUAUCGUAGAGGGAGGUAGAAUUCUAGGUGUAGCGGUGAAAUGCGUAGAUAUCUGGAGGAAUACCUGUGGCGAAAGCGGCCUCUAAACGAAUACUGACACUGAGUGCGAAAGCGUGGGGAGCAAACGAGGGAUUAGGAUACCCGU